Molecule: ribosomal RNA, 497 nt
Filed under: uncultured bacterium
Lineage: Bacteria
Description: partial 16S ribosomal RNA
Rfam family: Bacterial small subunit ribosomal RNA
Source: RNAcentral
GAUGGACGCUGGCGGCGUGCCUAAUACAUGCAAGUCGAGCGAACAGACGAGGAGCUUGCUCCUCUGACGUUAGCGGCGGACGGGUGAGUAACACGUGGAUAACCUACCUAUAAGACUGGGAUAACUUCGGGAAACCGGAGCUAAUACCGGAUAAUAUAUUGAACCGCAUGGUUCAAUAGUGAAAGACGGUUUUGCUGUCACUUAUAGAUGGAUCCGCGCCGGAUUAGCUAGUUGGUAAGGUAACGGCUUACCAAGGCGACGAUGCGUAGCCGACCUGAGAGGACGAUCGGCCACACUGGAACUGAGACACGGUCCAGACUCCUACGGGAGGCAGCAGUAGGGAAUCUUCCGCAAUGGGCGAAAGCCUGACGGAGCAACGCCGCGUGAGUGAUGAAGGUCUUCGGAUCGUAAACCUCUGUUAUUCGGGACGAACAGAUGUGUAAGUAACUAUGCGCGUCUUGACGGUACCUAAUCAGAAAGCCACGGCUAACUACGUG